AAGUACCAUGAGGAAUGGAUAAGAAACAAUAGCCGAGCAAACGAGAGAAACAGACGCAAUGACAGACCUCGAAAUUAUGACAGAUCAAGGAACUUUGAUAGGAGGAGGGAAAAUAUGCAGAACCGAGAUUUUCAGAACAGGGGUCAGCCUCCUAUGCCUAAUCAAGCUGGGCAAAAUCCUGGGCCUAACAUGCCUGGACCUGCCAACAACAUGAGGACUCCCAACAAUAUGGGCCCCCCGCCCCCCAACACGGGUCCAAUGCCUCCCCACAACAUGGGUCCAAACUACAGUAAUGUGCAGCAGCCAAACAACUGGAGUGGUGGCCAGCCCAACAACAAUAGCAAUCAGAUGCCUCAUAAUUAUAAUCAGAUGCCGCCGCCACCGCCUAACUACAAUCAGAUGCCCCCCAACAACAUGGGAGGUGUGCCACCAAACAACAUGAGAGGGAUGCCACCAAACAACAUGGGAGGAGUGCCCCCACCACCAAAUAACAUGGGAGGUCCACCGCCUAAUGCAGGAUGGGGGAGUCCUGGGCAAUACCAAGAUAACUACACACCAGGCAGGGACGAUGGAGGCAUCCCCGGUACAAACCGUUACUGAGCUUGAGGCUACGUCACCAUGAGUCUUGUAGGCAUGCUGUAGAUAAGCAAGGAGGCUGCUCGAGAUGGGCUGUAGGUUUUUCAUGUCACCGGUCUGGAAUGAUAUUUUGUUUGACUUAUUGCUGGGUGCGAACCUGGUUGCCUUUUUAUCUGAAUAUGAUUACACUUUCAGGGUCGAAUCUGAUUGGAUUAAUCGUAUCUUUGCUUUGCUACUUGGUACUGGUCAGGUCAUGUCAUGUCAUGUCAUGUAGUGCACAUAUUUGCAGAAAGCAGAAGACUGUUUAAUGAAACCACUAUGAUAGGGCAAUGCGCUCUUAUUUUUCAUCGAUUAGUCAUCCUCCUAAUCAAUUGAAAAAUCUAAACAAAACCCAAAAAUCAAUUAUAUGUAUAAUUUUUUUCUGUCAGUGCCUGAGCUUGUGCUUGGCUUAGUAACUUAAAUACAGGAAGAAUGGUGAAUACAAUCCAAUUCACUUCAUCGUCAGUUCAUUCAUCCCAUUCAACAAUACAAACAAAACCCACAAAGCAAUUAUACGAAGAAAUUAUUCUCUCUCUCUGUCUCCGUACUUCUGCUUGCAGCUUGCUUUAGUAACUUAAGAACAAGUGAUCACAGCCCAUUUAGGUUAACCCAGGGUAUGACAGCUGGAAGUUCUCCCGAAAAUGGUGUAUCCAAUUCUAACUUUUAAAGACUUUUUUUUGAGUAAAUGACUUUUCUAGAGUUGACAAAUUCUUAAUGACUUUUACAUACUUUAUAAAGUUAAGUGACAAACUUUCAUAUACUUUUGUCAUAGAGUUUUAUAGACUUUUAAAUACUUAUUUUUAUAUUUAUUUUACAAAUAGCAUUUAUCUUUUAUGUUGAUUGAAUUAGUCGGCAUACAUUGAACAAAAAAUUAGGGAAAAAAACAAUUGGAUACAAUUACAUAAAAGCAAAGAAUAGUUCUCCUUAACAUUAGAAAAUGAUAAAAAUGACAAAGUACAUUUGAAAAUGUACCAUAAGGAAAUAAUUGGCGCUCAACUAGCCAUGAUUCAGUUUACAAAAAAGCUUAGCCGUGAUUCAUUUCAAUGACAGUGAAUAAACCAUAAUACAAAUUCCUUUUGAAAAUUCCAAUGCUCAUUACCGUUGAGUUCCGUUAUUAUCUUGCAUGGCAUUUCUCCACAUGUCAGAAGCUAUACCAACUCUCCAUUCAUUAGCAUUCUCUCGUUGUUGUUCUUGAGUUUCAAAAACUUGUUCCACAUUAUCUCCUUCAUUCCCUGGUAAUGGUGAAGAUGAUGAAGACUCAUUCUCUAGUUCAAUAGGAAAUUCAUCAGAACGACAUUCCCUACGAAGAAAAUUAUGUAGUCCUGCACAAGCUAACACAAGCUCUGCUUGAGUCCUAUAUGGGAAGGGAGGUGCUGACUUGAAAAUUGUGAAUCUUGAUUUAAAUAUCCCAAAUAUCCUCUCAAUUACAUUCCUCAAGGAAGCAUGACGAAGAUUGAACAACUCAGUUGCGUUUUCGGGGUCACGACCUUGACCAGCAAAAUCUUGUAGAUGAUAUCGUACACCUCGAAAUGGAGCUAAAAAUUGACGUCGAUUUGGAAAUCCACAAUCCACAAAGAAAUAUUUACCUAAUCAUAAAAUAUAUAUAAAAUUUGUAUGCAAAGCAUGGUAUAAUGAAUGAUAAUAAUAAAACGAAGAGAUAAGAGUGUACCUUGUGGUACCUUGAGUCCAUUCCUCCUUGAUAAAGCAUCAUUUAAUACUUUUGAAUCAUGAGCUGAACCUUCCCAUCCACUGAGCACGUAUAUGAACUCCAAAUCAAAGUUACAUGCUGCUAAUACAUUUUGUGAUAUCUUUCCAUGACGAUUGCAGUAGUUGCUUACAUCACGUCCCUUCACCAUGGCUGGAAUAUGUGUACCAUCAAUAGCUCCAAUGCAAUCCUGAAAUGAAUUAAUAAGAAAUUAUAAGUAAAACAUAGUUUUUGUUGGAAUAAUAACAAUAAUACUUAUAAUAAUAAAUUCCAUUACCUUAAAGGAGGGGUAAAAUCGUGUACUUUCUCUUAUCUUAGCUGGCACUGCAGAUCGAGGUUUAGCCAACAUUUCUGGUGCUAGCGUGUUCAAUGCCUUCAAGACUUUGUUGAAGUUUUUGCUAGUAGCAAAAUGUGAUCGAUCAAAUGUCUUUCGGGUAAGACAAUAUCGAGAAUUUUGACCUACAGUGAGUAAAAAUGUAGCAAGCAUUUCUUCAACACAAAUAAAUCUUGUAUUUUGUAGGAGUGUUUUGUCUCUGAUGAUAGUGCAUAAUUUCCGAAACACAUCUGGAUACAUUCUAUAGACUUGUCGAAAUUCUUCAGGAUCUUCAUGUAAUAUUUUAUGUAUAUAAUCAUACCCACUUGUAGUAAUUGGUCGUCGAAUUAAUGGAUGCUCAAUAUGCUCACUACGCAUGAUAACCAUAAGCUCAUGUAACAUUUGGACCACUGCUUCCAUUGCCAUUAGUAAAUGCUUGAUGGUUUCGUAAAAUUCUUCAUCCAUUUCUUCUCCCUCCAUUUCCUCUUCCUCUACUCUAUUAUCUCCAUGCAUGAUCGAUUGAGACAUCAUAUGUGAACCACCUAAAAUAAAAAUUGGAAGCAAUUACAUUAUGUAAUAUAUAAUGUGGUUGCCUCUGUUUAGUAAAGAAUGCACUUGAAAUUGCAUGGGAAACAACAUUUCUAAAAUGGAAUUAAUAUGUAAGGUAUCAUGCAUGCAAUUUAUGACACGAGAAAACCAUUAACUUUAUAGUCAGAUAUUUUUUCUAAAUAUUAUAAUUGGAAUUGAAAAGCACCAACUGCUCAAAGAUAUCAUAUUUGAUGCAUAUGAAACAAACUUUAAAACUUUAAAUAUGUUCCUAAUAGAAAAUUUGACAAAAUUCCACAAAUAUGAAGCCAUAAACAAACUCCAAAAAUUCAGACAAGUUGUGCUUAAGCAUACUCCAAAAUAACCAAAGUCUAUCGUCUCCCACAUAACCUCAUUCAUUCUGACAACUUAUACAUUAUCCAAUCUUUGCGCUCCUGAGGUGACAUUUUCCAGAACAUAUCUUUUUUUGCUUUAGUAUUAAGCAACUCAACAACUUUGUAACGAACCUGACUAUCUAAGUUUGGGAUUUCCAUGAUAGCAUCCCAACAACCACUCUCUUUUUCCUUUUUUUCCAUAAGGCUAUGGAUUCCCCGAAAAUCUGUGGCAAUUGAAUCAAUGCUAAGAGAAACUCUUUCUAGAACAUCGGCUCGAGUGUUGGUCUCAAAAGAGCUAGUGUUCCCCUCAUACUCAGUUCUAUUUCUUUUUGUCUGACCAUUGCUUUCCAAGGGAAGCUCCACAUUCGUGCCUUGAGUGGGAACAUAUGAAUUAGGUUGUUUGGGUGAUAGAUCUUGGAAUGUUGCAGCUUCAACUUCAUUUGGUAUGAAUGCAUGAUUAUCAUCGUCAUAACUCAAGUCAUCUAUUCCCAGACGUCUACUUUCUUCCACUCCUAAUGUUCUUGCAUCCGUAUCAUCUCCCAAUGCAAUUGAGUUUCUUCCAAUGGCAGUUCCAUUCCCAAUUGCAAUUCUCAGAAGUUCAUAGUCAGCAAAAGUGUCUGUCUGAAAGUUGACAUGGGCCGGGUGGGACUAACAAAGGGAAAAAAAAACAAUUAAUGCAUACACAUACAAAAUAAUAAAUUAUCAUAUAAUAUAUUUUCGAAAAUAGAAGCUCACCUUAAUAUAAUCUUUCCACACUUCAUCACUAGCAGUGAACUUCUUUGUGAUUGGAUCCCACCCAAACCCAGAGCUAUGACGCAUAAGCUCAGAAAAAAUAUUAUAUCGUUGCUUAAACCAUUUCAAUCGGCUUAAGUAUUGUGAAUGAUUCCUUUCACAUCCAAGUUUUGCAUUAAGAGCAGGGAGUAUCUUUUUCUCAACUGUUUGCUUACUUAGCAUUCCAUUACUAUCACGCCAUCCACGAUUGGCGGCAUCAACCAUGAGCUGUAGCAACUCAUUGCUCUCUUCCAAUGUCCACAAUUUAUAACCUCCACUAACUUUGCUCUUUCCUUUGUCAUUUCCUCGUUGUGAUUCUUCCAUUGAUAAUUACUAUAUCACACGUACAACUCCUUAUUAAUUGUGUAUAUUUUCAUAAUAGCUUAUUGGUAAACUGCAUCCAAUGCACCUUUUAAAUUUUUAUUUAUCAAAUCUAAUCACAUAGACAAGUAACAUAUUCUUAUCAAAAUAAAUAAAUAUUACUCAGUCAUCAAUAAUAUUUCAUAAACACUCACAAAUCAACAUAAAUGGUUAGAUUACAAAAGAGUCUAUAUUCCAGCAAUUCUCCUAACCUAAUAUGUGGGAUGUAAAUAUUAUAUGAAAAAAUUAUCCACCUAACGAAUUAUGGGUAAAAAAACAGUACCUAAAGAAUAAAUUAAUGGGUUUAGGGGCAACAAAUUAUAUAAUAAAAUAUUGUAUGCAAACAUAGCAUAUGAGACAAUCAAUAUAAUAAAAUAUUUAUAUGCAAACACAGCUUUUUUUACUAAUAGAAGAAAUAUUCAUCAAUAGAGGGAAAGUAAACGUGUGGAUGAGAAGAGAAGAAAAAUAUUCAAUAUUUUUUUACUAACCUGAAGGAAGUGGAUGACAAUGGGAUACCAAAGUGGAGCCCUAACCAUGAAGAAAAAAGAUCUAUCUGCUUGAUGCUUGAUAUAACAAGGGAAGAAAGAAUUGGAGACGUUUGGAGAUGUUUUGGUUCUAUCUUCUCAACUUCCCAAUAUUUUCAUAAAGUCUGGUGUAAAUUAGCAAGACUUUUGGUAGUAAGAAUUACCUUUAAAAGUAUUGAAAAGUCAUUUAUUUAACAAAGUUUUUAAAAGUCAUUAAUAUUUUGGAUACCUCAAAACUUUUAAAUACUCUUUAAAACUCACAAUUGAAUACAACUAAACUUUUAAAGACUAUUUAAAAGUCACAAUUGAAUACCUAGACUUUUAAAGUCAUUAAAAGUCAUUAAAAGUUAUAAUUGGAUACACCCCCCCUCCUUCUGCUUGCAGCUUGCUUUAGUAACUUAAGAACAAGUGAUCACAGCCCAUUUAGGUUAACCCAGGGUAUGGCAGCUGGAAGUUCUCCCGAAAAUAAGUUUCCAGAAAUGUCCAGGAGUACCAGAGUUUCCUUGCUUAUGUUCCACAUCCAGUUUGGUACUUCGCCAUGUAUUUGGUUUCUUGCCAUAUCCAACCGCUCCAACUUUGUCUGAUUUCUUAGGAAAUAUGGGAACUCUUUUAAAUUGCAUGAACUCAAACCCAGAAUAGUGAACUGUCGAACAGUUGCAUUCAUCAUAUUGGAUUCAGUAACAAAUUCAAAAUUGUUCCAACUCAAUUGGAGUUGGUACAGAUUUUAUUGCUUCUCAAACAUUUGAAAUUCCACUACACCACUCAGGUUAUUUGAAUGUAGAUAAAGGAUCUCAAGAUUGAUGAGAUUGGAAAAUGAGGCUGGAAUUGAACCACUCAAAUGAUUAAAAGAAAAAUCUAGGUAAACUAGUUCGCUAAAGUUACCUAGCUAAGAUGGAAUUGGACUUCCAAAUCUGUUUGUUGAGACGUCUAGAUAAGUGAGCUGUCUAAGAUUACCAAGUGCAGAUGGACCCAAAAGAUUCUGAAAAAUUGCAAUUAGCCACAUCCAACUCUUGCAAUGAAUUAAGCUUUUCAAUUGAUGAAGGUAUUGUUCCCAAAAAACCUAGUAGAAGCAACUCUCAGAGAUAUGAGGGGACUACUUUGAUUAAAUUCAGGAAAAUAUCCAGUGAGAUCUUGAUUGUAUCUCACACCAAGAACUUUAUAGGUAAACAUGUAUUUCUUGUUGGUGAUUCAGGGAUUUUAAGCAUUUUUUGGGUUGUGCGUAUUCUCUCCAAAUCAAUUCAACUUCUUGUCGCGUUUGGUCACUGGAGAAGUUGUAUUCAUAUUUGGCACCUUAGUUGCUUUGUAUUUGUUUUUUUUUUUUAAUAUCUUAUUAAUAAAAUACUAUCGCUCUUUUGUCAAAAAAAUUCAAGAUGUAAUUAAUACUAAGGUUUAAUGAAAUUUUACAUCAUCUGUUAAAUUGGUAAUGUGGCAAGCAAAAAAGCGGUCUCCGCUCUGUAUAGCUUCAACUUGGAUUCAACAUAGAUGAUGCAGCACCACCCAGCCCCUUGCAUUUGGAGCGGUCGUUAUUAAACCAGUGCAAGAUUUUAAUACUCAGUUUAUAUACAGUUCUUACUUGAGCAUUGCCCUUGUAUUUCCAAUGUUCUAAAAUAUUCUUUCUUUGCCCUCUUAAGCUAAAUAACCUUCUAUGAAAGUGAAAGAGCUUUCUGUAUCCAACAUUACAUUGGCGUCCUUAUUGAUGUUAAACUGCAGGAGAAGCAGAACCUUUGUAGCAAAUCUUCUCUCUCUUCAUUCACAAGUCACUAGCAUCUGUUAACUACACAGGACCAAAAGACGAAAGGCAUAAAACAUAACUAAUCUAGAAAUCCCUUCACCAAUAGCCACACACUCAGAAAAUUGAUGGAUAUAUUAAACCCAACAAAUUAAUAUAUCAGUCUCUGAGUUGAUUCAAUUGAACAACUUAUGCUGCAAGGUCAUGCAGUCUUCAGUCUUCUUUCCUCCAAGCAACGUCAACAAGGUAUUGAUAUGUUCAAAUGCUGACCAACUUUUUUUGUAGAGAAUGAAUCUGUCACAUGCCGUCGCGCUUCUAUGCCCAUUCUCUGCGCAAUCUGCUGGUCUUGGAUAAGUUUAGCCAUACCCAAUCACAAAGAAAUCAUGUUUCACCGUUCUUAACUGUCUCUAGAGCCCCCACUGUUGCACAAAAUGACAGGUUUAUAAGCUGCCAUAACCACACAACACAAAUUAUCCAAACCCCUCUGUACGUCGAAGAGAGAUUUCCACAAAUGAAACCAAAGCAAUGACCUUGUGUAUUUUAAAGUCUGCAUUGACCUUCGUCCUCAAGCGAAGAUCUUCUUAUACUGAAUUUUCUUUUUUGAUUUUUAAGGCAGCUGAUAUGCGAUACCAGCGCAUCUUCCAUGUCAAUCAAAGUCCAAGUUCCAAGUUGUUUUCUUGUUUUAAACUUUUCUAAGGAAAUUGGAAGAUAGUCAUUCUUUCCAAGUUGUUUGCCCCACAUGAAGGCAACUACAUAAAAAAAAAAAAAAUCACGUAUCAUUGACAAGCAGCAAUCGUUCACAAAGAAGUCCUUUCUACACAAAUGGCACAAUAUAAAAUUUAAAGGGAUUAAUUAUUGAUAUGGCCCUUGAAAUUCAAUUUGAAUCUCACUUUGCCAUCUAAAACUCAAUUUGUCACACUCUACCCUCUGAAACUCAAUUCUCCGUCUCACUUUGUCCAUAUUCAUUAACUCCAUAAAAAAUAACAUAGCAUUGAGUUGUGAAGAGCAAAAUGUUGAAAUUGAUAACAGUCAAGCCAUGCGUUGAUGCCCUAUUCAUGUUAUAAAAAUCUUUUCUAUUAAUUCAUAUUAGACUAGAUAAAAUAACUUUCAUGUAUUAAGAAAUCAAGGGUCACAAAUUUCAAAUUCCCAAAAAUAAUCAGUGAGAAAUCAUAGCAAAAAACACCAAAAAGAUGCACAAGGCGCAUUGGAUGAAUAUGUUAAAGCCAAGAUAUGGAAUCAGAGUCUCCAAUUCUCUGCAAAUUCUAAUUCAAAGUCUCAAAAGAGAAGUUUUUUCUGCCAUCUUGGGCCAAAACUGGACCCAACAUUUGGAAUAUGAAAGUAAACACCCGAGUUCGAUAUGAUCCAACCCAUUUCAGUUUCGGACUAAAACGGGUCGUCGUCGUCUUUCUCCAGUUCUCUACUUCUCACACAGAAGAGUCUGUAAAAGGAAGAAGAGAAGAGCAAUGAGUGGAGAAGAAUUAGCGGGCACCCCAGCGGCCAAAGCUCCUCCGUCUGCUUUAUUUUGUCGGCGCUGGCUGUAAGUCAUGAAUUUUCAUUUCAAUUUUAAGUCUUCUUCUUCUCCCUUUUUAAAUGGUUGGCUGAUUUUAAAUUCUGGGUAGUUAUUUGCACUGUUGGAAUCAACAAAUGGCGUGAGCUUCAGCGCAAGUCAAUUUUACAACAGCUGCAGCAGCAACAACAGCUCCCUGAAAAUGCCGCAAAUGCCCUUGAGUGAUCUCCAGGUUUAAGGCAAAUUUUCAAAUUUUGUCAUAGAAUUUGGCAAGUAAGCUUGAUCUUUGGCUUCAUUUUGAGUUUGUAAGUGCUGCUCCAGCUGAACUCGUGUUAGACUGAGCUUUGGUAGUUUGGUUGUUAAAUGAUGUGGAAAAUGGUGCAAAAAUUCAUGCCUUUCAAUCUGUUUGAAUAUUCGAAAUACCUAUGUGUGCAAAUUUCUUUGGCUUCAUUUUGAGUUUGAUCAAAUUGCUAAUCUGAGUAUUCCGCGUACAAAUUUGAAUGGUAAUGGGGAUUGUCUAGAUUUCCAUUUUGUAUACAUUUGUGCUUCUUUUGUGACAUUUUCUCUCUAGUUUAUAGUUUGAUUCGGGCAGUAUACAACAUUCUUGAGGAUGACUCAAAUAGCGAGAUUAUUGAUAUUGAGUAAGAAGGUGAGAUUGUUGAUAUUGAGUAAGAAGGUGAGAUUAUUGGUGUGUGUGUGUAUGUGCGCGCACGCAGUGGGGGUUUCUAUUGUGAGUACCGAAGAGCUUUCUCAUCUUAGAAUAUGUAUGUCUAUUGAAGCUGUGGAUUCUAAUCCAAAUCGAGGCGAAUUUGUCAUAUGUGAAUAAUGCUAGGUAAGAGUUCAGGCAGUCUUUAUUUAAGAUGCUUUGGCAUAAGAUGGCUUGGGGUUCCCCAUAGAAAUACAAUAGAAUGCAUGCUUCUAUUUGUUCACUUUGGAUAGUCAUGCAUUGCACUAUUUUAUUUGUUGGUUAUCAGAACAACCUACACUUGAAGAUUGUAAUUAUAUGUUAAUGGACCUUGUAUUUGUGCAGAUGCUACAUUAAACCAUCUUCAAGUAUAUAAACAAGCAUGUUUUUUAAGUUAUUAAUGAAAUUGGAACUUAGUGCCAGUAUGACAAUAGGCGAUAUGUAUGUGAUUUGUAGGGCGGUGAGAGUCAGUAGUUUUCUACUGUUAUGUCAUGGAUUUUGCAGCAUGCUCGCUUUCAACUAUCCUCGGAUGCUUAUGCAUAAUCAAUUGGAGGUUCUAACUUCUAACUUCACAUAAUGUAGCCAAAACCAUGAGGCAAUCACUUCACUGAGUUCUGCAACCCUCACAUAAUGCAGGUGAUAUGUAAUGCUAGUUUUCUUCAAAGUUUUCACUCAGUUUCUAAAUAAACAUGUCAAAAUGAGUUUCAUGAUAACGGAGUUUGUAAAAAUUAGGGGAAUGUCUAUAACUGCUUUGAGAUAGUUCUGUCAAUAGUGAUUGUUUGAGUCUGACAGUCUGUUGGGUACAUAUAGUUCUCUGUUGCGGCUAGAUGGCUGGAUGCAGUUUUUCAUUUGAAAGCCUUGAUGGACUUUUGGAGCUGAAGCUUUCAUGUUUGUUUUUGCCUAGGUACAUUCUUUUGUCGACCUAUAUCAAUAAAGGUCAUUGAUUGAGCAUAAUCAUAUCUGAAAAGAAUAGCAGUACAAAAAUAGGUAUGUGAAAAGAAAAAAGAAAAAUUAGUGUUUAGUAAUUAGCAUGUGCUACAUUACCUAUUUUUGUUUUAGAUAAGGUGGAUGAGUUUUAAAUUUUAUUUUGUUAAAGACCAAUUUGUAAGCCCAUGUGCUAAAAGCAUGAUUAAUAUAAGAGUUACAUUUACAUUUUUGCCAUUUUCUGAUAUUUUGUUUCCACUGUGAUACUAAAAUUAGCGAUCGGCAAGGACUAGAUGAGCAUCGGCAUUGCAACCAUAGCGAUCAACCUAGCGCCGAACCUUCAGGUGGCGCUCUUCAAAGCGACGUUGCAUGGUGAGCGAGAAGCACAUAUAGGAGAUCAUCAUUGUCGCGAGCCGAGUAUUGGCGCCUGUUUCAAAGGAGGUUUUUGUAUUGAAUCUGGGCUCCUUUUGGACUCUUCUCGAUUGCAGUCCUGGUUUUGUUAGCCUUUCACCAUAAUCAGCAUGAAGAUCGGGUGGAACAGCCUAUACUAGUAUGAUUGCUUAGCUCCCCUGUGCUGCUAUUAUGUGUUAAUUGAUUUAGUUUGUCCUUGAAUUGGUGACCUGUGUGUUUCUUCAACAUUUUAAUUUGAUAUUGGUUGAUAGGAAUUUGAUGUGUUUGCAGUCUGUUGUUUGGAUUAUUUGAGGUUUUCGUCAGUGAAAUUUCUGAUCAAGUAUGGAAAUACACAAUUGGGUUUUUAUUGUUUUGUUUAGACAUUUGUAUGAGUGGUUUUAGAUAUUUCCGAUGAAUCUCUAGUUAGUUAUUUAUAGGGAUAUGCGUGUUCCUUCAUUACUAUAUAACCUUGUCGAAAGACCAUAUGAUAUAAAUAGACUAUCAAUAACCAAGCAGAAGCAUGCAGUAAUCACGUGGUUGUGAUAUUAAACAUUAGCCUGUAGAUGUUAUAUCUAGAAUUUAGGUGUCACUAUUGGAUUGCUUCAGAUUAUCUAGCGUGCUUGUGAAGGCCUACACUCCCAGUCAAGCCUGGAGUUGUUAUUUGGGGAAGAAAAUGAAGCUUAUGUAGAACGAAUAGCAGUAAACUAUUAUGCUGUUAUCUGAUUUAGUAUCAGAUGACUCUUUUAAAGCAAACUUGUCUGACACACGUGUGAAUCAAAACCCUGGAUGGAUGUUCAAAUUUCCUUUAUUAUUACAAAAUAUUAGUGCUUAGUUAGUUGUGUGUGACAUAUGUCAAGAUAUUAUAGAGAUGUCAAAAUGAAGUAACAAGAUUGUCCAUGAUGACCUAUAGCUUGUAGACUGAGAAACAUCAGGUCCAAAGAAAUUGGGUGAUCACUGUGUAAAACUUUGUGUUUAACCUGGUAUCUCGAGAGCUGAAAGGAAUUUAGUUUAACUGGAGGAUAAUACAAUCUUCUUAUCUCUGGUUUUUAUUUCUAAUUCCGUGUAGUUGCUUCUGGCGUGCAUUGCCCACCCCACCCCAGUUAACAAAAGAAAAAUAGACAGUUUUGGUCUCUAGAAUUUGAUGAUGAAAAUUUUCCUCUUAGGCAGUCAAUGUUAGCCUUGGAAGUUCGCAUAACUGCUUUUUGAAUGCUGGGUAUUAUAGUAUUUGCCUUUUUAAUACUGAUAUUAUAGUAAUCUUAAUCUGCCAUUCUGUUGUACAUUGUCUACCUGUCUAUUCGUUUGUUUUCAAUUAGUUUUUCGGCAAUCAAGUAUCCAUUUAUACAUGAUUGUCUGCUUUCUUGUUAUUUUUUUGUUUUGGCAGGAGAACCUUUUAUUAAUGGUGAAGCAGUACCAUAUGAUCCCAAGUACCAUGAGGAAUGGAUAAGAAACAAUAGCCGAGCAAACAAGAGAAACAGACGCAAUGACAGACCUCGAAAUUAUGACAGAUCAAGGAACUUUGAUAGGAGGAGGGAAAAUAUGCAGAACCGAGAUUUUCAGAAUAGGGGUCAGCCUCCUAUGCCUAAUCAAGCUGGGCAAAAUCCUGGGCCUAACAUGCCUGGACCUGCCAACAACAUGAGGACUCCCAACAAUAUGGGGCCCCCGCCCCCCAACGCGGGUCCAAUGCCUCCCCACAACAACAUGGGUCCAAACUACAGUAAUGUGCAGCAGCCAAACAACUGGAGUGGUGGGCAGCCCAACAACAAUAGCAAUCAGAUACCUCAUAAUUAUAAUCAGAUGCCGCCACCACCACCUAACUACAAUCAGAUGCCCCCUAACAACAUGGGAGGUGUACCGCCAAACAACAUGAGAGGGGUGCCACCAAAUAACAUGGGAGGAGUGUCCCUACCGCCUAAUGCAGGAUGGGGGGGUCCUGGGCAAUUCCAAGAUAACUAAAUGCCAGGCAGGGAUGAUGGAGGCAUCCCCGGUGCAAACUGUUACUGAGCUUGAGGCUACGUCACGAUGAGUCUUGUAGGCAUGCUGUAGAUAAGCAAGGAGGCUGCUCUAGAUGUGCUGUAGGUUUUUUAUGUCACCGUUCUGGAAUGAUAUUUUGUUUGGCUUAUUGCUGGGUGCGAACCUGGUUGCCUUUUUAUCUGAAUAUGAUUACACUUUCAGGGUCGUCUCUGAUUGGAUUAAUCGUAUCUUUGCUUUGCUACUUGGUACUAGUUAUGUCAUGUCAUGUCAUGUAGUGCACAUAUUUGCAGAAAGCAGAAGACUGUUUAAUGAAACCACCAUGAUAGAGCAAUGCUAUCUUAUUUUUCAUCGAUUCCUAAUCAAUUGAACAAUCUAAACAAAACCCAAAAAGCAAUUAUGUGUAUAAUUUUUUCUCUCGGUGCUUGUGCUUGGCUUAGUAACUUAAAUACAGGAACAAUGGUGAAUACAACCCAAUUCACUUCAUCAUUAGUUCAUUCAUCCCAUUCAACAAUACAAACAAAACCCACAAAGCAAUUAUACAAGGAAAUUAUUCCGUCUGAGUCUGAACGCUUCUGCUUGCAGCUUGCUUUAGUAACUUAAAGACAAGAACGAGUGAUCAGAACCCAUUUCAGUUCAUCACCAACUCAUCAAAUUUCACAUCCCAAUCAAACCCAAAUUAAGAGCGAUUAUUUAGAAGCAAGAUUAGUGGCAGACAUGCCCAUAUAUCUCAGGCCAUGUCACUCUCAAGCAAGGUUAGUGAAAAAUAUUCAUCCGAUGGGCAUCUUUUUAGUGUUUUUUGCUGUGAUUUCUCACUGAUUAUUUUUGGGAAGCUCUCCAAGUUGAAAUUUGUGACCCUUGAUUUCAACAAUUUACAAGGUUCUUUGCCCUCAUCUUUGAUGAAUUUCACAAACCUUGUAGAACUACACUUGGGAUCCAAUCCAACAACUUGGAAGGUGAUAUCUGCAUGCUUGAUUUUUCCAGACUUAGUCAAUAACUUUACUGGUACGUUUCCAAUAAGCAUUUACUCAUGUAGGUCCCUGAAAGCAAUUCAAUUGACUUCAAGUCAUCUAGGGGGGCAAAUACAACCUCAGAUUCUUUCAUUGAAAUACUUGUCCUCCCUCUCAAUUGGUGGCAAUAGAUUAACCAAUGUCAGAGGAGCAAUGAAAAUACUAAUGCGUUGCUUUCAGAAUCCUUUAUAACUGCAUCGCUUUCAAGCUACCUAUAAGAAAAUCAAAAAAUUAGAUGCAGCUUUCUCAGAACUGCCUUUUAGCUUGCGGCUUGCUCGAAAUUACAGAAUUGCUAUCUUCCACUACAAAUGCAACAUCCGCAUGCCAACAUCCAAACACCCACCUCCCAGAAUCAUUCUUCACAACUCAACACAAUUCACUAGUUCCUGGUUGGGGCUCAUUUGAUUGCUAUCAAUAUAUUCAGCAAGUAGUUGUUAACUUGUGCCCACUCAGAGGGUUGAACAUUAUUGCUCUACCAAGAUAUUAUAGUAGUUGCCUUCUUGUGGGGCAAACAACUUGGAAAGAAUGACUAUCCACCAAUUUUGAAUUUUCUUAGAAGAAUCAUCAACAAGAAAACAACUUUGAACAUGAAUAGGACGUCAAUGUAUAAUGUUGGAUCAGGCUUGACUGACACUGUCACUCUCAGGCCAUAUCUAUCAGGCAAGAAAAAUCGCACCAUGUAUCUUCCAAAUUCCACGAAAAAUUGUCAUCAUAUUGAAAGAAAACACCAAUGAGGGAAAACACGUCAAACAACGUUUGCAUCCACAUCUGAAAACGCAUUAACUACAUCCAUGAGAUUUUUUAUUACUGUUAAAAAAAUCAUGACACAUCCUAUACAGCUUAUAACUCGACCAGCAUGGAAAUCUCUCUUCAACGUAUAGAAGGGGUUUCAAGAAUUUGUAUUGUAUGGUUAUGGUUGUUUGCUAAUUUCCUACUUUGAGUACUUGGCCUUGUGGACUUUAAAUUAAGUAGGUCAAGUCCACUCCUAGUGGCAUUAGUGGGAAUAUCUUUUAGGGUAAACUGCCGAAAUGCCUCCUGAACUUGUACUUAAUUAUCAAUUUACCUUAUGACCUUUUUUUUAAGCGAAUUAAAGGCUCAAAUUAAAAUUUAUUAUCAAUUCUUCCCCUAUCGUCUAAAUAAAUAACGUUUCAUCCAAUAAUCCGUCAAAUCAUUAAAAAAAAAAAUAUUAAUGAUGUCGGGAAUUCUAUAGGAUUUGUCUCGGGUUUCGAGGAAUUUGGGACGGGUCCUGUCAUAACCAGUCGACAACUCUUGCGCUUAUCUCUCAUAGCUCUACCAUAUCCAUGGUAUGAAUUUUCUUUUAAAACGUCUUCUUAUUUCAAUUCUUGUAAUCGUUUGGGUUGGAUUGAGAAAUCUCCAAUACCUCUUCCUUUACUCUGUAAUUCGAAUUUGAGGAUAGUUGGUGGAUUAAUUAAAGAAUCUUUUGUUAUUUAGUUUAAAAUCCAAAGUAAACAUAAAUUGCAGAAGAAUAUAUAUAUAGAUGAGAUUCACUUGAUUAUCUGAGGAACGAAUCAUGGAUUAUUAUAAUACAUAAAAUCAGACUCCCGCUCUUUUUACCCUUCAAACAAUCCAGGAAGAUUAGCAUUCGAGCCCGAAAGGGUAUGGGGACCCGAAAGGAAUAGUAAAAGAAAAGGAUACCAAGUUUAGUUGGGCCCGAAACUGCACCAGUGGGCCUGAACUGACUAUUGAUCUAGUUAAAAACAAGAAAGUAUUGAAGUAGGUUAAUAAAACCCAGGUAGGGUUUUUUGUUGACCACGAACUUAAUCUUGCUCUGUUGCCCGUUCAGGUGCUGCUCACACUUGUCAAGGUGAUAUUCACGAAGAAAAGAAUAUUGAAGUCCUCUUAAUUGAGACAUAUAAAAGAAUCUAUCCAGGCCAGUACCCCCAUGGAGCACAAUGGCUUGAUGAGAAGUCUAGAAAUGAGGUGCAAACUCCAUCAGCAUCAGUCAUUCAUAUCCACACCAGAUCUAUUGAGCUGGUUAUAUCCUCAAUAGUGGCACGCCUGCGCAACAAAAGGGAUCAACACUACGAAGAAGUUGACAAACAGGGCCUCGAUCAGGCCUGACUUCUCUUAGCAAGCUGAUUCAACUUUCAGUUUUGUCCAAAAAUUAAAGAAGUCCCUUUUGCAAGCGAAGAUACACCAUUUGAUCGGGGCAUUGGUGUUGAUAUAAUAAUUCCUCUUUGUUCAUCAGAGCAAAGUUGGCCCUCGUGGUUGCUAAAAGGAACGAAGGAUGGGAAAAAGCGCCAACAAUUUUCAUUUCCUUUCUGUCGAUAUACUGUUUUGAGAGGAAAAAGAAAAUAGACUUGGAAAAUUUCAGCUUUUGCUAUGCUUCGUACCUUGAAUCCUAGCUAUUUUUUGAUCCAACUCCGUUUGUAUUCCUUUGCUUUUGUUCUGUUUUGCUCCUUCCCGUUUGGAUUGUUCAAUGGCAUCAGAUUUCGACCCAAAAAAAAGAAAGAGAUGUGCUUCGAGGUCCUAAUGCAAGAAGCCAUAACCGCCCCUCUUGCACUCAAACCCUCGUCGUCGGCCUCCAUGUGGAGUUCUCAUGAUUUGAACAAACGACUCCGUUUUGGACCUCUCCGCCACCACACUCAUGCUCCUCCUCGAGGACGUCUAGCGAUUAGCGCAGCAGAGUGAGAUGAAGACCCAGCAGGCGAUAAAUGACUUUUGGAUGGCCCUAGGCAAUGAACUAAAUAAGGCCCCUUCCCUUGGUAUACAAUUGCGAAAAAAAACAAAUAAAAUGAUUUUAUGUAGCGCGUAGAGCAUGUGAAUAAUGAUUUUAAGAUAAAUAAUUAUAGAGCAUAAUCCUACAUGGUCAAUUCUAAAGCUGAGUCUUACAUGGUCAAUUCUAAAGCUGAGUCUAAGUCUCUUAACAGCAAAGUCAUUGUCUGUGUAUAAUCUGGAAAAUUAAAAAAUAGUUUGAUGGAUAGGAACAAAUAUAUAUAAAUCUGAUUACUUUUUCAAUUUCUCAUGUUCCUCCCCUCUUGGUCACCAUCAAUCUCAAAGACAAUUUGUGAGCUUUUUAGUGUGAGAUUGAUUCUUAGGGUUAAAAUAUGAUAAGAUAAAAAAAAAGGAUGAGAGAAAUUGAAAAUAAUGGAUGGAUUGAAGAGAGAUGGGGAAAAAUAUGGUGGUGGAUUAUUAAGAGAUGAGUGGAUCAAAUAGAAUUCUUCCAUGGAGAAACUAACUAGGAGAGGAAUCGCCUUCCUCAAGCACAUGUUGUUUCUGUCUCUGCGUGGGAAACGAAGAAACAUUCUGGGAAGAGGAAACAAAGAAACCUAAUUUAAUCGCGUGUUGUUUCUGUUUUUUUAAUAUAUAAAAUUGGACAAUAGUGUAUAUUUAUUUUUACCAUAAAAUUAUCAACACGAAAACAUCUUAGAAGCUCAUCGUAGCCCUCUUUAGACCUAAUAUGGUCUACAAUAGUUGAUAGUAACAGCUAGAAGGUCUGGUCCUCUCAUCGUGGCCCUCUUUAGACCUAAUGUGGUUUUCAAUUUUGGCUACAUUAGUUGAAGUCUCUGUUCGACGUAUAGAAGGGGUUUGAAGAAUUUGUAUUGUAUGGUUAUGGUUGCUUGCCAAUUUCUCACGUUGAGUACUUUGAAGGCGUUGUGGACUUAAAGUAAGUCAAGUCCUCUCCUGGUGGCAUUAGUGGGAAUAUCUCUUAAUACCCAAUGAGGCCUUCUCUCUGGUUUCAUUAGUGGGAAUAUCUCUUGGACGAAUUGAGGGGUUUCAAUAUCAAUAAUUUGCAUUGUGUGGUUGUUGUUUGCCGAUCGACUUCUCAAUUUGCAGUGAUGUAUGCAUCCUUUUCAAGCAUCGUUGCUCUUAUAUAUAUAUAAGUGAUUUCAUUUAGGUAUCCAUCAAAUGAGCUUACUUGAAUCCGAUAUCAUUUGACUACUUAAUUAAAUUAUUGAAAUUUAAGUACUUUCUUGAAGCACAGUGUUCAUUGAUUUUGUUGAUCUCAAUUAGAUGCCUAUUGAUUUUCAAUAUGCAUGAAUUUUUGGAAAGAUGAUCUAUGAAUGAAGUUGUGAAAAAUAGAUGUUUUUGAUUGUUCAAAAAUUUUUUGUAAGGGACUCUAAGGGGUCUCCCUCAAAUAAAUUAUUUUGAGGAAUCCCUCAAUAGAAGGGUACUGAUACAUACUUAUAUAUAUAGACCAGCUUGUAACCUAAUGGCUCAUGGCUUCGUUCUCUUCCUCUUAUUCUCUUGCAUUAUACCUACAAAUAUUCAUGCCUGCAAACAAACUGAACAGCGCUCCCUUCUGUCCUUUGCCUCCAUUCUAUCUUCUCCUCCUUUAAAUUGGACAUACACUAUGAAGCUGUUGUUGCUGACGUUGAAACUAGUUAAGUUGCUUGCUUGUUGGAAGAAUGAAGAUGGAAUUGCACCAAAGAAGUGAGUAAGUCUGGAAAAAUCAACAAUAGUUUGAGUUUCAAUGUCAGCAACAAUAGCUUCACAGGGUAUGUCCCAUCCUCUAUUUGUCUCCAACAUUCUUCAACCUUCCUUAGGCUAUUGGAUUUUUCUUCCAAUCUAUUUAAUGACGACCUUGCUCCUGGGUUAUGGAAGUGUUCUGAACUGCAGGUUUUUCGCACCAAUCACAAUAACCUCUCAGGAUUACUUCCAAAAGAUAUCUAUAAUGCUACCAAACUUUAAGAAAUUGCAUUACCCUCUCAAUUCACUACAUGGAGCCAUUAGUGAUACAAUUGUCAAUCUCACCAACCUUGCCAUCCUUGACCUCUCCUUUAAUCAUUUUGGCGGCAAGCUUACUCCCAAUUUGGGGAAGCUCUCCAAGUUGAAAUUUGUGACCCUUGAUUUCAACAAUUUAGAAGGUUCUUUGCCCCAGUCUUUGAUGAAUUGCACAAACCUUGUAGAAUUGCGUUUGGGAUCCAACAACUUGGAAGGAGAUAUCUCUAUGCUUGAUUUUUCCAGACUUACUCAACUUACUAAACUUGACCUAAGGAUGGAUAACUUCACUGGUAUGAUUCCAGUAAGCCUUUAUGCAUGUCGGUCCUUAAAAGCCAUUCGAUUGUCUAGAAAUCAUCUAGAGGGAAAAAUAGAAGCCGAGAUUCUUUCAUUGAAAUCCUUGUCCUUCCUCUCGAUUGCUGUAACAUCUCACAUCGACCAAUGGAGAGGGAGUGAUGUGCUUUAUAUGUACAUGUCCACCUCUAUCUAGUUCAAAGCCUUUUGGGAGCUCACUAACUUCGGAGUCAUGGGAACUCCGAAGGUAACCGAGUUUGGGUUAGAGCAAUCCCAGGAUAAGUGACCUACUGGGCAGUGCUCGUGAGUUCCCAGAAACAAAACCGUGAGGGCAUGGGGGGGCCUAAGGCAAACAAUAUUGUGUUACGGCGGAGUCGAUCCAAGGUGUGACAGAAUGGUAUCAGAGCCACUCUGCCGUGUGGUGUGAGUGUGCUGACGAGGAUGUCGGGCUCCUAAGAAGGGUGGAUUGUAACAUCCCACAUUGACCAACGGAGAGGGGGUAAUGUGCCUUAUAUGUACAUGCCCACCUCCAUCUAGCACGAGGCCUUUUGGGAGCUCACUGGCUUUGGAGUUUGGAAACUCCGAAGUUAAGCAUGUUGGGGCUAGAGCAAUCCCAGGAUGGGUGACCCAUUGGGAAGUUGCUCAUGAGUUCCCAAAAAUAAAACUGUGAGGGCAAGGGGCCCAAAGUGGACAGUAUCGUGCUACUGCGAAGUCGAUCUGGGAUGUCAUAUAAUGGUAUCAGAGCCACUUUGCCAUGUGAUGCGAGUGUGCCGAUGAGGACGUUGGUGUCCCAGCAAGGUACCUCUUUUGUACCAAGCCAUGUCCUUAAGUUUGUCCCAUGCCUUGGGCAAGUCAGGCAGUGCCACAAUGUUCAUAUUUAUAUGGAAAUUUGAAACUCAUUCGUUGAGGAGUACAUGUGUUUCUUGUAUUGUAAGUGCCACUACUACAAAAAAGCAAAAAGACGACGGUAAAUCACCGUCGUGUAUUUGGUUUUUCAAUGGUCGUGGAAUCCACCGUCAUCUUUUCCCUCAUAAACCACGACGCUAAAUAACCGUCGUUGUUAAACAAUACAACGUCAUCAAAAAAUACAAAACGACGUCUUUGUACUGCAAAAAGAUCUAAAAAAAGCAAUCGAUGAUGAUAAUAGACGACCAAUUCUCUAAAAAGACCGUCGUUAAAAAGGGAAAAUAUGACACAUAUUAAGAGAACAAGGCCGCAAGAUAGACAUACAACGACGACAAUAAAAAUACGCCGACGUUAAAUAUAAUUUUCACGACAAUAAAAAAUAUGACGUCUUUAAAUACAUUAGAAGACGACGUUAUUGAUACCUACUACGUCGCACAUAUAAACACAACCGUCGUACAAUUAAUUUUCCACUUCGAUUUUUUGAUAAAAGAUGACGUGGAAAUAGUUGUCAGUGUCAUUAUUUACGACGUAUGUGUUUCUAUAGUAGACGUUGAAAAACUAAACAACGUCAGUUACAAAUAUAUGAGAGUCGUAUUAAAAAAUUUAUACGUCCUAUUUUCAGAAACAAACAACGACCAUAAAUAUUAGACGUUGUUAAAUACAACAACGUCGGAAAACAAUAAAAACAGACGUGUUUAGUCUGCUAAAGUUCUACAACGUCUCUUAUUUACAAAAAACCGUCGUGAAAUAAAUUUUCCACUUCGAUUUUAUCUAAAAAAGAUGACGUGGAAAUAGUUGUCAGUGUCAUUAUUUACGACGUAUACAUUUAUAUAGUCGACGUUGUAUUUAUAUGUAUUCAUUACUCACGACGCACUUAAUAAUAUAGACGACGUUGAAGGUCUAAACAACGUCGGUUCCAAAUAAAUGAGAGCCGUAUUACAGAACAUAUAGACGGCGUAGAUUAUGAUGGGAGCCGUAUUACAAAUAACGUCGUUUAAUUGUUAUUAGACGGCGGUUAUAAUGAAUUUCCGUCGGAAUUAAUUUCGUUCCUCUUCGUUUAUAAAAGAACUUGCGACGUGGAAAAUGUAUGAUGACGUCGUAUUUUUUAACGUUCAGAUUACAUAUCUCGUUUUUUAGACGUCGGUAUUAUGGGAUUGGAGUCGUGUUAUUUUGAAUUACAUGGCGGUUCUUUAUCCUUCACCGACGUGAUAUCCUGAAUAAUUGCUUCACAAUAGCGUCGUGGUUCUUCAUUGUUACGUUGCUUUAAGACGUCGGUAAAUAUGCUGAAUAACUGAUUCACAAUAACGUCGUGUUUUAUUUGAACGUAGAAAGUGAAGAAAUCACAUUACAAUAUAUUACAAAAUUAAUGUCAUACACUGCCAAUUACAUAAGCAUCAUUCAAUCCAUAUAUCUUCACACCCAUCUCGAAUAUUUUGACCGCCUAACUCACCUACCAGUUCAUCAAAUGUGUCAACAUUUGGCAUCCCUCUAGUAAAUGGCUCACACUCAAUUAUCACAUCACCUAAUACUUCAUCACCAAUAACAUCAUUAUAUUCUCUACUAGGCAUUGAUAACACUACCGACCAACCACGAUGCAUCGGGUCGUCAACAAAAAAUAUUUGUUUGACUUGAGAAGCCAAAACAAAUUGGUCAUUCCUAUGUCCAAUUUUACUCAAAUCUACAAGGGUAAAUCCAAGUUCGUCGACUACAAGACCAGAACUAUCUAUCCAAUCACACCUAAAGACUGGGAUUGUAAACUUUUGGUAGUCAAGGUCCCAAAUUUCUUGAAUGACACCAUAGAAACCCAUAUUUGAGAGAAUUGGGUUUUUAUCCUUGGCACUAGCAACUUGCAUGGUAUGUGCAAGUAAAUAAACUCCACUAUUUUGAGUUGUCCGCACAUCAUCUUGUGCCUUGAUAUUGAAUUUAAUACCUUUAAUAAGAUAGCUCCUAUAUAAUGGCACUGACAUGUUUGGACCAGCUGCUAGCCACCUUAAAUUUUCUGAUACGCCAUGAUUGUCUUCCUCAACUUCACUUUGAACCUGCAAAUUAAUCAUAUCUUAAUUCAUCCUAACAUAUAAAUAAGAAGAAAAUUAAAAGAGAAAUACGUUAUUCAACAACAUAUACCUUGAAGCGUAGCCAUUGAAUGAAAGUGCUAUUGUGCUUAUCCUGCAGCCACUUUGUUCUCUUUCUAAAUUUUGGAUAAGCAGUCUUGAUGUGGAUCAUAUGUUGCCUACAUGACACGAAAAAUUCAAGCAUUACGGUCCCAAAUAUAUAAGAUAAACAUAAGAAAUAAUUUUAAAUGGAAACUUAAAGAAUAAAACUCAUACGUACUCGAUAUAAGGUAGGACUUCCUCCGUAUUCUCCAAGACAUAUAGAUGUGCUUGAUUCAACAGGUCCUGAUCAACUACGCUCACUGUGCAACCUGAUAAUGGCUUUGAAACUCCCAUCUUUUGGCUUGAAGGCACUCCAACUGUACUAACAUCAGAUAAAUGCUGAGUACAAAACUCUACCGCUUCUUCAGCUAUAUACCGCUCAGCAAUGCAACCUUCGGGACGAGUACGAUUCUGAACAUACCCCUUCAGCACUUUCAUAUAUCUUUCAAACGGAUACAUCCACCUAAAAUAUACUGGCCCACAUAGACGAACUUCUCUGACAAGAUGUACUACUAGAUGAACCAUGAUAUCAAAGAAUGAAGGGGGAAAGUACUUCUCAAGCAAACACAGAGUAACUACUACAUCUUCUUCCAACUUAUCUAGCUUGGAAACAUCAACAGUCUUUGCACAUAUAGCAUUGAAGAAGAAGCACAAACGAGUUAUUGCAUACCUUGCAGGCUUCUCCAAAACAGAACGAAUUGCCACAGGGAGCAAUUGUUGCAUUAAGGUAUGACAAUCAUGUGAUUUAAGGCCAAGAAGUCUUGAAUCUUGUACAUAUACAAGAUUUUUAAUAUUUGAAGAAUAACCUUCAGGGACCUUCAUACCAUAGAAAGAAUUGCAAACCUCUCUCUUCUCUGCUCUUGACAAAUUCCAAGGCCCAGGAGGCAAACGAGUACGUCUUUCUCCAUACUCGGGUUGCAAAUCAGUUUUGACCCCCAUGUUCAAUAAAUCUAAUCGAGCAGCAAUCCCAUCUUUAUUUUUUCCAGGGAUCUCCAGCAAUGUACCAAUGAUACUAUCGCAAACAUUCUUCUCAAUGUGCAUAACAUCUAGGGCAUGCCUCACAGGAAGGUAUUUCCAAUACUCGAGAUCAAAGAAUAUUGAUUUCUUCUUCCAACAAACUCUGUCACCAUUUUCAACCAUAUGCAGCACUUCUUCUCCGGUUAAUGGCUCUGGAGGUAUGCCAUAUUCAGGUUUCCCAUUAAAAGCUGCACGUUGCCUCCUAUAUGGAUGAUUGAUUGGUAACCAUUUUCUAUGCCCAAUGUAACAAAUUUUGUGGCCAUUUUUCAACCUGUGACUAGGUGUAUCAUCGCCGCAUAUUGGACAAGCUUUAUAUCCUUUAACAACACAACCAGAUAAGUUUCCAUAGGCGGGGAAAUCAUUAAUUGUCCACAUUAAUGCAGCUCUGAGUGUAAAGUAUUCUCCAUUAUGUGCAUCAUACACUCCUCUAAUCCCAACCCACAAGGAUUUUAAAUCAUCAAUCAAAGGCUCCAAGUAGACGUCUAUAUCAUUUCCGGGUUGUUUAGGACCGGAAAUCAAUAAGGUUAACAUCAUGAACUUUCGUUUCAUGCACAGCCAUGGAGGGAGAUUAUAUGUAACUAAGAUAACCGGCCAACAACUAUAUCUGCUACUUAGAGAACUGUGGGGAUUGAAUCCAUCAGAUGAAAGAGCCAAUCUCAAGUUUCUCGGCUCAUUACCAAACUCAGGCCAUUUAUCAUCAAGAAGUUUCCAAGACGGGGAAUCCGCCGGAUGAGACAUCUGACCGUCAAUUGAUUUUCUAGCAACAUGCCACCAAGUCAAACUCUUAGCUGUCUCAUGUGAUUGAAACAUCCUUUUAAACCUUGGAAUUGGGGGAAAAUACCACACCACCUUCGCUGGCACACCCUCUUUCAAGAUUGCAUCUUUGCCUUCCUUCCACCUUGAGAUACCACAAGUAGGACAAUUAGUUGAAUCCUCAUACUCCUUCCUAUACAAGAUGCAAUCAUUGGGGCAUGCGUGCAUUUUCUCAUAACUCAGCCCCAAUGCACACAAAGUCUUUUUAGCCUCAUACAUGGAGGUUGGUAUUGUAUUUCCUUCUGGAAGCAAAUCGCCUUGAAGUAUCAAUAAUUCUGUAAAACAGACAUCACUCAUCCCAUGUUUUGCCUUCAAAUUAUACAACUUCACUAAUGCCGAUAACUUCGUGUACUUUCUACAACCAGGGUACACUGGUUGAUCUCCAUCCCCAAUCACAUUGGCAAACUCAUACGGAUCCGAACCAAAAUCACCAAAAUCAUUAUCAUCCAUAUCAAUUUCUUCAGACACAAAACUGUACCUACUAUGGCCAUCAUCUUCUUCAACAUUUCUGCUAGCAUUAGUAGUUGCUUCCCAAGGUUCUCCGUGAAAUGUCCAAUUCUUAUAGCUUUGGUCAAUUCCAUUAAAGUAUAAGUGAUCCCUUAUAAUUCCAACCCCAAACAACUUCAAAUUAACACAUUUAACACAUGGACAACGGAUAUGUGUUGUAGUUAGAAGAUUUUCUACAGCAAAGUUCAAAAAUGCUUCCACCCCAAACUCAUAUGCCUUCGAUCUUCUAUCCGAGUGCAUCCAUGACUUAUCCAUCUCCGACACUAUAACCUAUUAUCUAUAAUAAAGUGAAAAUACAGGCAAUGACCAUCACUAUAGCAGAUUAUACAAUGAUCUAAUCGCAAGUAAUAAAUAACAGAGACGACGGGUUUUAAUCAAAAACAGACGUAUUUGGCAUAUAUAGACGACGGAUUUUCAACAGACGUCGUCUAUUAUACGUAAUACAAACGACGGUUUAUGAAAAAACCGUCGUGUAUAAGUAAUACAACGACGGUAGUUUAAAAACACCGUCGUGUAAUCGUCGUCGUACGCCUUAAAAUUCGUCGUGUCUCAGUUUAUUUUCAAGAACACAAAACCCAUUAAGAACACAACAUAUAUAUGAAACCAAGCAAGAAACCAACAUAUACAUGAAACCAAGCAUGAAAACAAUAAAUCCAUUCCCAAUUCAACAUAACAUAGGGUGAUUAAAAGAUACGACAAAAUUAAAUCCAUUCCCAAUUCAACAUAACAGAUAAUGUAAUCCAUGAACCCAUUAAACAGAAAAUCCAUGAACCCAUACCUAUAAGCAUUGGUGCACUUUGCACCUUCUCCAGAGCGGAAAAUGACAAGAUCAAAUAAAGGUGUCCUUUUGCUGAAAAUCAUUUGGAAGUUGGUGAUGUGUCUUUUUGUGUUGAUUUCCAGCAAAAGUACACCUUUAUUUGAUCUUGUCAUGAACCCAUUAAACAGAAAAUCCAUGAACCCAUACCUAUAAGCACAUUAUUAACAGAUCGCAAAGCAUAUACCUAAAACCCUUUAACAAAACAACCUAAUAUCAUUCAAUGAAUUUACAAGGGGAAGAUAGGGUUUGUACUUACAGGUUGGACGAGCUCACAGAUUCGACGAGCCUGGAGAGUGCAACUUUUAAUUAGAGCAGAAGUGAGAGAGCGAAAUGUUAUGUCGCGUGAAAUCUGAAAUUUUAGGUUUCAGGGAUCAAAGUAUAAGACUAAGAGCCAAAUCUAAAAAAAUUUAGGUCGCGCGAAAAUUUUUAGAGCGCGCGCGUUAUAAAACGUCGAAAGAAAAACCAAGGCGAAAGUUCUACAAGUACCGACGUAAAUUUAAUAUUCCACGACGGAAACUUCAUUUUUCGGAUUAAGAACGUAAGGCCGUUCAUUUUUCGGAUUAAUUUUAAAUUUAUUUUGAAUUUUUUAUAUAACGACGACUGAAAAACCACGUCGGUGUUAAGAAAUUAAAGACGUUGUAAAUUAUAUAAACCGACUUACAUAUUAAAAUAACGUCGUUUAAAGCGUAAACCAUGUCGUAUGUUUUACUGUACGACGUAAAAUAUGUAUUCCACGACCCAACCACCGUCGUUAAAAAUUAAUACACUAAACCCAUAAAAUUAAAUUAUACAAUUUAAAAAAUUAAGUUUAUAAAAGGUUUUAUGGUUUUAAAGCCUAACAUAUAACAUAGACUACCCAAAAAUUAUACUUUAAAAAUAAACCCCAAUAAAUAACAACACUAAUCUCUAAACCCUAGACUCUAAACCCUAAACCAUUAAACUAGAAGUGAUUUUAUGACUCAUCAAAACAAUUUUGUUUUGGAUGGUCAUUUUAAAUUUUUGUUAUUCAAAAUGAAUUUUUUCAAGGUUUAUGUGGAAGAAAAUAUAUCAAUGACUUCAUAGGAGUUGACUUUUCAAUUUUCUGAUUUAUUUUAUAUUUAUUUUGAAUAUUUUGAUAUAAAAAUAAUAAAAUAUUCUUACCAUACAACAAACCACGUCGGUGUUAAAUAAAUUGUAGACGUUGUAAAUUGUAAUAGACUACUAAGUCGUUAAAAUGACGUCGUUAAAAUGAGAAACCACGUCGGUGUUAAGAAAUUAAAAACGUUGUAAAUUAUAUAAACCGACUUACAUAUUAAAAUGACGUCGUUUAAAGCGUAAACCAUGUCGUAUGUUUUACUGUACGACGUAAAAUAUGUAUUCCACGACCCAACCACCGUCGUUAAAAAUUAAUACCCUAAACCCAUAAAAUUAAAUUAUACAAUUUAAAAAAUUAAGUUUAUAAAAGGUUUUAUGGUUUUAAAGCCUAACAUAUACCCUAGACUACCCAAAAAUUAUACUUUAAAAAUAAACCCCAAUAAAUAACAACCCUAAUCUCUAAACCCUAGACUCUAAACCCUAAACCAUAAAACUAGAAGUGAUUUUAUGACUCAUCAAAACAAUUUUGUUUUGGAUGGUCAUUUUAAAUUUUUGUUAUUCAAAAUGAAUUUUUUCAAGGUUUAUGUGGAAGAAAAUAUAUCAAUGACUCUCAUAGAGAGUUAGACUUUUCAUUUCUCUGAUUUAUUUUAAAUUUAUUUUGAAUAUAUUGAUGUAAAAUAAUAAAAUAUUCUUACCCAUACAACAAACCACGUCGGUGUUAAAUAAAUUGUAGACGUUGUAAAUUGUAAUAGACUACUAAGUCGUUAAAAUGACGUCGUUAAAAUGAGAAACCACGUCGGUGUUAAGAAAUUAAAAACGUUGUAAAUUAUAUAAACCGACUUACAUAUUAAAAUGACGUCGUUUAAAGCGUAAACCAUGUCGUAUGUUUUACUGUACAACGUAAAAUAUGUAUUCCACGACCCAACCACCGUCGUUAAAAAUUAAUACACUAAACCCAUAAAAUUAAAUUAUACAAUUUAAAAAAUUAAGUUUAUAAAAGGUUUUAUGGUUUUAAAGCCUAACAUAUACCCUAGACUACCCAAAAAUUAUACUUUAAAAAUAAACCCCAAUAAAUAACAACCCUAAUCUCUAAACCCUAGACUCUAAACCCUAAACCAUAAAACUAGAAGUGAUUUUAUGACUCAUCAAAACAAUUUUGUUUUGGAUGGUCAUUUUAAAUUUUUGUUAUUCAAAAUGAAUUUUUUCAAGGUUUAUGUGGAAGAAAAUAUAUCAAUGACUUCAUAGGAGUUGACUUUUCAAUUUUCUGAUUUAUUUUAUAUUUAUUUUGAAUAUUUUGAUAUAAAAAUAAUAAAAUAUUCUUACCAUACAACAAACCACGUCGGUGUUAAAUAAAUUGUAGACGUUGUAAAUUGUAAUAGACUACUAAGUCGUUAAAAUGACGUCGUUAAAAUGAGAAACCACGUCGGUGUUAAGAAAUUAAAAACGUUGUAAAUUAUAUAAACCGACUUACAUAUUAAAAUGACGUCGUUUAAAGCGUAAACCAUGUCGUAUGUUUUACUGUACGACGUAGAAUAUGUAUUCCACGACCCAACCACCGUCGUUAAAAAUUAAUACACUAAACCCAUAAAAUUAAAUUAUACAAUUUAAAAAAUUAAGUUUAUAAAAGGUUUUAUGGUUUUAAAGCCUAACAUAUACCCUAGACUACCCAAAAAUUAUACUUUAAAAAUAAACCCCAAUAAAUAACAACCCUAAUCUCUAAACCCUAGACUCUAAACCCUAAACCAUAAAACUAGAAGUGAUUUUAUGACUCAUCAAAACAAUUUUUGUUUUGGAUGGUCAUUUUAAAUUUUUGUNNNNNNNNNNNNNNNNNNNNNNNNNNNNNNNNNNNNNNNNNNNNNNNNNNNNNNNNNNNNNNNNNNNNNNNNNNNNNNNNNNNNNNNNNNNNNNNNNNNNNNNNNNNNNNNNNNNNNNNNNNNNNNNNNNNNNNNNNNNNNNNNNNNNNNNNNNNNNNNNNNNNNNNNNNNNNNNNNNNNNNNNNNNNNNNNNNNNNNNNGUCGUUAAAAUGACGUCGUUAAAAUGAGAAACCAUGGCGGCUAUUUAACUAUACGACGUAAAUAUAUAUAUCAACGACUUAACCGCUGUCGUUACAUAAACGUCGUCGAUGAUACCCUGAACCCUUAAGAAAUUGAAGAUGUUGUAAACCAUAAACGACUCAAUUGUUCAAAGAACGUCGUCUAACUAUAUUUUUACGUCGUAAUUGUUUAAAACACGAAACAACAAAAUACGACGGUUUGUGACUUUAUUAGGUCGUUGGAAAAGUAUUACACGUCGGUUAAGCAAUUUGUAUGUUUGUUUUUUUUUUAAUUUAAGAAAACCUCAACAAAUUUUUACAUUACAUAUUAUAGAGAAAAUUUGUACAUUAUACAUAAAUAUCAAGUGUUCAAUAAUUGCCCUGUUUAAUAAUUUGGAAAACAAACUCUGCCCAUUCAUUCCGGACUUCAUCAAUGGCUUCUUGGGGGUAUGAAGCUUCCUGGUUUCCCUUGGCAUACUGCAUAAACAAUGACUAUUAGGGUUUAUAAAUAAAAAGAAAUUCAAUCACAGACGACGAUAUUUUUCAUAACCGACGUAGUAUAUCCAUUCAACGACGUUAAUUUUACAUGACCGUCGUUGAUAAUACAAAAAACGACGUGAAAUGUAUGAAGGUAAUUUCUUCUUACCUUAUUCUCAAACCCCAAGGAAGGAUCCAUGAUGAUGUCCCUCAUGAAGCGCAUCACAUAAUACCCGCAUUCGACAUUGCUGGGUUGCUUUGGUGUGCCUGAGAGAGUUUUCCAAAUUACAUUUUUACGUCCUGCUCGGCCUAUGUGGGUAUUAUAUAUUUUUAAAGCACUGUUCACGAUGUUUUUCGCCUCUUCGUCGACCACACGAUGACCUGGCAGAGGAUCCAGAAAAUAGACGGUCUCCUUCUUUGCUCUUACAAUCAGCAGGAUCCAAUGACGGCUGCACAAAAUUAAUAUAAAAACGACGGUUAUUUACAAAAACGACGUAUUAUAGUAUUUCACACGACGAAAUAAAGUAGAUAACGACGACAUUAUAUAUUUAUCACGACGACAAAUAAAUACCGACGUGGUUAGUAGUUUCAAACGACUAAAUAAAAUAAAACACCGACGUGGUUAGUUUAUAAGCUGUCAUUUAUUGAAAAUCAUAAAAACAAAAUCCUAAGGAGACUAACCCUGGAUUGUAAGGCAUCAUGAAAAGCUGUUCACCGUCUGUCUUCUGAAGUCGAGCUGCUACCAGUCGUGAUCUUUCAGUUAUUGUGCCAGAGUUGGCACUAACUGUAGCAGGGUCAAUAAAGCCAACCAUGCUGCACAUAUUGGCUUGUUUCAAAACAUCGUGUAAGUACCUAAAUACAUAAAAUAAUAUAAACAAGUCAGCACAAACAAACACGACGGUUAUGUAUAAAAAAACGACGUAUUAUAAUAUUUCACACGACGUACUGAAAUAGAUGAGGACGUUAUAAUAUAUUUAUCACGACGGUAGUUAGUUAAGACGACGUGGUUAGUUAGUUAAGACGACGCAAUAUAUAAACCAACGAGGUAUUAUUUUAGAAGUACAAACCUCAUAUAUACAGCCAAUACAGUAGCUCCAAUUUCUUCCAUGCCUGCAAAUUGUGUAAUAUCUUCAGGCAGGAGGAAGGUAUCGCGCUCACCACCAAACACCUCCUUAUCAAUUGUAAAUUGGAGUGUCUUAUCCUCAGGCAGGAGUGUCGUUUCCACAAAACGACAAAGGGUUUUUAAAGAAGAUGGCGCCUCCAUAUUUGAAUAAGCACCAACUUCAAUAACCUGUUUAAAGAAAUAAAAAAAAUGACGUGGUAAUUCAAUAAAGACGACGGUUUAAGUAAUAAAACGUCGUCUUAAAAGUAUUUAAACGACGGUGAAAAAACUGUCGUGGUAAUUCAAUAAAGACGACGGUUUUAUGAAUAAAGCGUCGUCUGAAACCAUUUAAACGACGGUGCAAAAACCGUCGUUUAAAUAUUUUAUUACGUCUUAAAAAAAUUCCGCCGUCUAAGUUUUAAACAAACGACGGAUUAAAUAAAAAUAUCGACGUCUGAAAUUUUGAAAAACAAAUAAAAAAGGCAAAGUUAUGUGAACAUACCUUGUCGUCAUGCUUUUCUUCAUCUUCUUUCUCCUUUUCUUCUUCCUUCUCUUCAUCUCUUUUUUCUUCUUCCUUCUCUUCAUCUGGCUGAUGUUUCCCCAUUUUGGCAGUAUCAUCCUCCAAAUGUAGGGAUCUCACAUCACCUCCAGAGCAGCUAGCUUUGUCAGACAUUGGAUUUUUGGGGCUUUGGCUAAUUCUUGGUUUAAGCAUGCUUGGAUCAAAAUUGGGAAUUAAUUGGGAAAGCUGACUCAGGAAAUGCUCCCUCUCAGCCUCUACCAAUUGUUUUGUCCUAGCCUCCAUCCUUAAGGCCUCUUCCCUUGCCUUAGCCUCCAUCUUUUUAGUCUCUUCUUGAAGGAGAACUCUUAAACUGUCCUUCAAACGGUCGUCAAAGCUCACCCUCUGUGGUUUGGGCAAAUUGAAAUAUUGCCUUGGGGAAACACCAGCACCAACUCCCCUCAGUCUGCCUGGAUGCUCGGGGCCCAAAGCCAUGGUCAGCACAUCAUUGCUGCCAUCUACUCUGACUUUGCCUUCCGAGACUUGUUUCUGCAAUUCAUCCUAAAAAAAGAUAAACAAAAAAACACACGACGGUUAUUUAUGUACAAACGACGUAUUAUAUAAUUUCACACGACGCAAUAACGUAUAAACCGACGUUAUUAUAACUUAUCACGACGGUAGUUAUACCGACGUGGUUAUUUAUUUAAAACGACGAAAUGAAUAAACAACCGACGUCUUAUGCUAUAAUUAAAGAUAACAGAGUAGUGAUUCCUAUUUAGACCGUUAAUGACGUUUUUAAAAAAUUUUCGACGUGGUAAUAUCAUUCACACGACGCGAAAAUGAACCACCGACGUCUUAUGCUGUAAUUACAGAAAACAUAGUAGUGAUUCCUAUUUAGACCUUUAACGACGUUUUUAAAAACUUUUCGACGUGGUAAUAUCAUUCACACGACGAAAAAUAUAACAUACGACGUAAUAAGAAUAAUUCACAGUUUAAUAAAAAUUUAAAACAGAGUGAUAGUAGGCUUACAAUUAAUUUUGCUUUCUCUGCCACCUUUGGAUCAGGGAUGUUACCAUGUUUGUCCUGUCUAGCUCUCUUCCAUAAGGUAGAUCGAUCAAUUUCUACCCCAGGCAUGGUUUCCUCCAAUUGAUCCUCCAAUCCAGCAUAUCCUUUUCGAGACAAUCGAUGAUUGUACUCGAGUUUCUCCCUAAUCUGUGCAUGUUGAGAAUGCACAGACUCAAAAUCUUUGGAUAGCCUUGAAGCUACAAAGGCAUCCCAUUGUGCUUUCUCUAUGAAUUUAUAUGUUUCAGGGGGUUGGCUUAAUUUCUCCCUGUCAUUGGUGUAUGGAAGGAUAUAAUGCCUCGUUAGUGUAGACUUGAAAUCCUUCCAUUUCUUGGAAGCAGAAGCUAAAACAGAGGUCUUGCCCCCUUGGCCUACGACAAAAGCCAUGUCAACUGCUUCCCAAAUCUGCUCCUUUAUAUCCUUGGGGAUUUGGGACCAUUUCUUGUCCACAAGUGGGAUCCUGGAGCGUGCCAACACACCAAUAUACGACUGCAUCUCAAUAUGUGCUUGGCCAACACCUUUCCCCCUUUUAUUGUACUCAACAAUUGGCCUCAGUUUCUGAAGCUUUCUCUUCACAACACGAGGCAUUGUGCUCAUACCUCGACCAGUCUUUGAAUCAUCUGAGAUUGUUGUCUGGCUGGUUUGUUCUGUCUCAGCAGAUGAUGAAGCAAACUUCAUCUUCUUCGAAGACUUCAUCUCCUUCGAAGACUUAUCUUGAGGAGCUACCAUUCCAAGCUUCUUGGAGCCAGAAUCCUUAGUUUGUUGUUGAGAAACCAUUUUAACAGACAAAACUGCAAGUGAAAAUAUUUCAGGAAAACAUUAAGAACACAAACGACGGUAUUAAAAAAAUACGACGUAUGAUAUGAUUUUAGACGACGCAAUGAAAUAAUCUCAGACGUAAUAAAUGUUUAAAACCAUUAUUUAUAUAACGUCGUGGUAUAUAUGUUCACACGACGUCAAUAGUAAUACACCGUCGUGGUAAACUAUUAUUUAUAUUUUAUCGUCUAUAUUAGAUACCAACCCUAGUUUCUUUUUCUUUAUAUUUAUCAAAUAAGGGAAAAACAAAAACCAUUGUUCAGCGAAAUCAAACCUGCAAUUAAACAAGCAUAUAAAAAAAGACUAUUAUUUUAAAAACAACUUUGUCAAUUUUCAGACGACGCUAGAACAACUGACGAACCGUCGUGGUCUACCGUCGUCUUAUUUAGUUGAUGUAGUUGUCUUCAAAGUUGGAAACUUUCUCUCUUUGUCUGUAUAUUUUAUCAAACUUGGAAAGAAGUAAAAUGAUUUUGGCCAGAAAAAAGGUAAAAAGAUUUUUCAAACAAAAAACGUAUGAGCAUGCAAAACAGUAACCAAAAUAGUGAAAAUGAAAGCUUACCUUUUGCGUGCAAUGAAAGCAAGAGGAAGAUGAUCGAUGUUUAAGUUCAGAGACGACGAAGAAGACGAGAGGAAGACGAUGAGAAACUCUGACAAUGCUCUGACAAGGAAAAAAGACGAAAAGGUUUCUCUGGGAGAUUGAAAUUUUUAAUCGGGUUUGGAAACAGUGCAUGUGUAAGUCGAAAAGUUGCUUACAUAUAAAACCAUUUCAAAAAAAUAAUACGGCGGUUACAUUUAACUACGUCGUUUUUAACUAAAACGACGCAAUAUUUUUCAUUCGACGUGGAAUCAUUUCAUUUAACGUCGUUAGGUUUAAUAUAACCGACGUGGAUUUUAAUUUUUAAAUUAUGAAUAGAAUUUUUUUUCCCGUGACCUUUCAGUUUAUUUUUCAAUUACAGUGCGUUAUAAAUAGAGGUUUUUUUCCGGAGGAAAUUUAAAACGAAGGAAAUUAAUAUUCUGCAAUAUGUAAAGUUUCUUUUUUGGAUGACAGAUUUAAAUAAAAUAAGAAUAUAAAAACAACAAAUGUGUAAGUCAAGUAGACGAAAAGUUGCUUACAUAUAAAACCAUUUCAAAAAAAUAAUAUGGCGGUUACAUAUAACUACGACGUAUAAAUUACAAAAUACGACGGUACAUUUAACUUCGGACGUGGUAAAUAAAUACGACAGUAGUUUGUAGGUACCGUCGUAGUAAACUCAAAAAUUAAAGUACAUAAGUAAUAACUCGCGUCAUGGUAUAUUAUUUAACACGUCGUUUUUAUUAAUUUACCGACGUGGAUUUCUGUAAUAUACGUCGAUCAUACCGACGUUGAUUUUACAAUUUAAACGGCGGUUUGUUUGUAAGGACCGCCGUUGGUUUUAAAAAUUUAUUCUAUAAAUUUGUCGCUUUCAUUCAUUUUCGGUUUACAUUUAAGGUUCCAAGUUCUUCCUCUCUCAGUCUCUCAUGUCUCAAAGAUAAUAAUUUGGAUGUUUUCUCAAAGAGAAAUUGAGCUUACUCGCAUCAAAUAUAUGUCCACAAGAAGAAGCUUGUCAACUAGCCUUCUCACUUCCUUGAUCAAGCCUGAUAGGACACUUAGUGCUUCUGAAUACUCCUUGCUUUCCAUCAAAAGAGAUGCAAGCCUGGCCUCCACUCGCUGUCGAAGGAAAGUUCGCUUCUCAGGGAAAUCUGAAGAUCAGAUGUGCCUGAUCCUCUGCUUGAUUUUCUUGCCUAAGAAGAUCCGUCGGAUUUAUUGUGAUAGCCUCUUCCUUUAUCCGUAGAGCUUCAGAAGAAGAAGAUGGGUUUCAAGAAUGCGAUAAAGAAUAGAAAUGGCUUCAGAUGGCCUCUAAAGCAUGAGCAAUUGAAUCAGUAGUUUCUGGGAGAUAUGAUGAAGACAUUGUCAAUGCUUUGAACUACACAAGUCCUGCAGAAAGAUAUGUUAAAGAAACUGAAACAACGGCGGUUUUCUGUUCUACCGUCGUCUUUUCUCGUCGUCUAUAUUAAGUUACGAUGGCGGUAGAUUUAUAAUUACCGACGUAGAUUAUUUUGUUAAACGUCGUUAAGUGUACUACAACCGACGUGGAUUUUAAUUUUAAAUUAUAAAUGGAGUUUUUUUUCCCGUAUUCUUUCAGUUUUAGUUUUCAAUUCCAAAGCGUGAUAAAUAGAUUUUUCUUUCCCGAGGAAAUUUAAAAUGAGGGAAAUUAAUGUUCUAGAAUUUGUAAACUAACACGACGCAAUAUUUGCAAAUCUGUGUCAUCUGUUAAGAUUAUGAUGUGGAACAGAGUUCCAUCUGGUAAGAUUUCGUAACCCUUGGGAUCUCAGACAAAACUGAUUAUGUCGGCGGUGUUCUAUAUAAACCGUCGUGGUUAUUUCAAUUCUUGUCAUUAAGUAGAUCUACCGACGUAGGAUAAGAAAAUCAAAGAAAAAAAUUGUUAACAAAAAUUCUUAUUAAGACGACCGUUAAAAUUAAAGGUACGACGUAUAAAAUGAAUAAAUACGACGAUAAAUUUUAUUGUACGAUUUAAAGAUAACGUAGUAGAACUAUACGAGAAUGACGUCGAUAUAUUUAUAUUUUCCGUCGUUGUAAAUUAAUUUAAUACGGCGAUAUUUUGUAUUUUAAAGCCGUGGAUUUGUUUGUAAUUAUACGGCGUCUUAUACGAAAACCUCGUCGUGUUAUUUUAUGAGUAAAAACGGCAGUUUUUAUUGAAAUCGUCGUCUUUACUUUCUACGUCGGUCGAUUCAUAACUUCUGCCGUUCUUUGUUGGCAUUGAUUUUACACUGAGGAAAUCUGUUUCAAAUAGACGUCGGUUGUUUAAUUAUGUACGUCGUUGUUUUUGAACAGCCAUUUGAAACUCCAUUUUUUAGUUGUCUAAGGUUGUAUUACACGACGGUGUUUUUAGAACCGUCGUCUUUUUAUAAACCACGACGGUUUUCACUUAGACCGUCGUUGUUUUCUGGUCGUCUUUUUCACUUUUUGUAGUAGUGUGCGGACCAAGUAAGUGCAUUGAUGCGGAUAACAAGAACAAUAAAGAUGUGGACAAUGGGCUUCAUCAACUUCCGUGGUUUCAUAUUUUCACUAUGUUGGGGUUCAUAGUGGGAUUUUGGGGAGUCUGGUUCUGUAAUUAUUAACAAAACAUGGAGAUACGCAUAUUUUCGAUUCAUAGACAAUCUACAAUAUAUGCUCCUCUAUGUGAUGAUAAUAGUCCCCCAUGAACAGGAUGAAAAGAAGGCUUAAAGGCUAGAUAUAUAUUAUUAUUAUUGUACUUUUUAUUUUGCAUACUCAGUCCAAAGAUAUGAAAAUUGAUGCAUAUGCAUAUAAUACGGUUGUCAAUUGUGAAGGAUUGAUGUCUAUGCCUCAGUAACGAAGAUUAAUGUCUAUUGCUAAUAUAGAAGGCAUAUUUGUGUAUGGGAGCAUGAGUUAUAUCCCGCACAAAAAUGAUAAGAACUACUCUCUCUCACUUGUCUGUUAAUAUUAGUAUCUUUAUUAUAACAUAUGUUACCAAUAUGAAGUAUCUGUAAAACUAAUCACUUAGCCCAAAGGGAAGGGAAAUUGCUCCAGUUGUGAAUGAUCGGAUGAAGCAGCCAUUGCACCACUCAAGAUAAGAAAGAAAAUUCAAGAGAUAUUAAUGGCCUUUCUGUCUUUCGCAAUUUAUGAAGAUGUUGUACAAUAGAUGUAUUUGAAUAACUCUAGGGGCAUGGCAGUACCAAAAUCGUGCUCAACGACAAAACAUAUGGCCGAAGGUCAAAUUCAUGUUGAAGACAGAACUUGUGGCUGAAUGCAAAAUUCAAAAUCAUGGAGGAAGACCGUACGAUCGACCCAAGGCUAAACUCAGACUAUACUCAUGGCUGAAGGCCGAAUUCAUACUGAAGAAACUCCACAUGCUUGUGGCUGAAUGCAAGUCACGCAGUCACACAUAAAUUAGCACAAGCUGCGGUGAUUCACAUGUUGGCUGAAUGUGCCGGGCUUCAGUGGUUUGUUGUACUAGAAAGUUGAUUUUUAUUCGAGCAAUUUUUUUAGCCGCGAAGUAUGGGAUUACAAAUCUUGGUGAUUGGCAAUAUGGUUGGUAGUUCUCCAGAAAAGAAAAACUCCCAACUCCCAACUCCUUCCGAGGCCUUUAGUCUUUAAAAUGGGACCUGUAAUAACUGGAGUUAUGAUUAGGCCUCUGUUAUUUUGGGGAUCUCUUAGUUGGAUCAGGUCUCUAAAGCCUGUUUGAUUUUUAUUUCUAAUUCUGCGUAGUUGCUUCUGCGGGGUGCAUUGCCCUCCCCACCCCAGUUCACAAAGAAAAAAAAGACAGUGUUGGUCUCUAGAAUUCGACGAUGAAAAUUUUCCUCUUUGGCAGUCAAUGUUAGCAUUGGAAGUUCGCAUAAUUGCUUUUUGAAUGCUGGGUAUGAGAGUAAUUGCGUUUUUAAUACUGAUAUUAUAGUAAUCUUAAACUACCAUUCUGUUGUACAUUGUCUACCUGUUUAUUUGUUUGUUUUCAAUUAGUUUUUCGGCAAUCAAGUAUUCAUUUAUACAUGAUUGUCUACUUUCUUGUUAUUUUUUGUUUUGGCAGGAGAACCUUUUAUUAAUGGUGAAGCAGUACCAUACGAUCCCAAGUACCAUGAGGAAUGGAUAAGAAAGAAUAGCCGAGCAAACGAGAGAAACAGACGCAAUGACAGACCUUGAAAUUAUUACAGAUCAAGGAACUUUGAUAGGAGGAGGGAAAAUAUGCAGAACCGAGAUUUUCAGAACAGGGGUCAGCCUCCUAUGCCUAAUCAAGCUCGGCAAAAUCCUGGGCCUAACAUGCCUGGACCUGCCAACAACAUGAGGACUCCCAACAAUAUGGGCCCCUUGCCCCCCAACACGGGUCCAAUGCCUCCCCACA
Molecule: long non-coding RNA, 36565 nt
Filed under: Prunus persica (peach)
Lineage: Eukaryota; Viridiplantae; Streptophyta; Magnoliopsida; Rosales; Rosaceae
Source: RNAcentral